Molecule: ribosomal RNA, 358 nt
Filed under: uncultured Gammaproteobacteria bacterium
Lineage: Bacteria; Pseudomonadati; Pseudomonadota; Gammaproteobacteria
Description: bacterial SSU rRNA
Rfam family: Bacterial small subunit ribosomal RNA
Source: RNAcentral
UAAGGAGACUACAGGUGACAAACCGGAGGAAGGUGGGGAUGAAGUCAAGUCAUCAUGGCCCUUACGGAAUGGGCUACACAAGUGCUACAAUGGUCGGUACAGAGGGUUGCCAAGCCGCGAGGUGGAGCUAAUCUCACAAAACCGAUCGUAGUCCGGAUAGCAGUAUGCAACACGACUGCGUGAAGUAGGAAUCGCUAGUAAUCGCGAAUCAGAAUGUCGCGGUGAAUACGUUCCCGGGCCUUGUACACACCGCCCGUCACACCAUGGGAGUGGGUUGCACCAGAAGUAGCUAGUCUAACCUUCGGGAGGACGGUUACCACGGUGUGAUUCAUGACUGGGGUGAAGUCGUAACAAGGUA